AUGAGUUCUAUGCUUCAAAUUAAGAUAUGCCGAUGAGCAGUGAAGUGAACUCCACGGCCAAUGAAGACUGCGUAACGAUUGAUAUUAAUGAAAUGCUUAAAAAACUUGAAUCUCAAGUAUCCUCNGCAUUUUCAAAGUGCCUGAUGAAUUACGAAGCGUUAAUGAGAAGGCAUAUGAACCGCAGAUGAUUGCAAUUGGUCCUUAUCACCACGGUAAACCUCGUUUAAUUGCCAUGGAAAAGCAC
RNAcentral lists this unclassified non-coding RNA (244 nucleotides) under Hevea brasiliensis (rubber tree). The record is from RNAcentral. Lineage: Eukaryota; Viridiplantae; Streptophyta; Magnoliopsida; Malpighiales; Euphorbiaceae.